ACUCAAAUGAAUAGACGGGGGCCCGCACAAGCAGCGGAGCGUGUGGUUUAAUUCGAGGCUACACGAAGAACCUUACCUGGGUUUGACAUAGCGGUAGUAGGGAACCGAAAGGGGACCGACCUUCGGGAGCCGUUACAGGUGCUGCAUGGCUGUCGUCAGCUCGUGCCGUGAGGUGUUCGGUUAAGUCCGCAAACGAGCGCAACCCCUGGUGCUAGUUACACGUGUCUAGCGCGACUGCCCGUGAGAAACGGGAGGAAGGUGGGGAUGACGUCAAGUCAGCAUGGCCUUUAUAUCCAGGGCUACACACACGCUACAAUGGGCGGUACAAUGGGUCGCGAAAGCGUGAGCUGGAGCCAAUCCUGAAAGCCGUUCGUAGUUCGGAUUGCAGGCUGCAACCCGCCUGCAUGAAGUCGGAGUUGCUAGUAACCGCAGGUCAGCUAUACUGCGGUGAAUACGUUCCCGGGCCUUGCACACACCGCCCGU
RNAcentral lists this ribosomal RNA (483 nucleotides) under uncultured bacterium. Its description in RNAcentral is "partial 16S ribosomal RNA". It matches the Rfam family "Bacterial small subunit ribosomal RNA", at positions 899 to 1397 of the family's 1533-position model. The record is from RNAcentral.